This 256-nucleotide ribosomal RNA is filed under the name uncultured bacterium. Its description in RNAcentral is "partial 16S ribosomal RNA". It matches the Rfam family "Bacterial small subunit ribosomal RNA", at positions 524 to 776 of the family's 1533-position model. The record is from RNAcentral.
UACGUAGGGUGCAAGCGUUGUCCGGAAUUAUUGGGCGUAAAGAGCUCGUAGGCGGUUUGUCGCGUCUGCUGUGAAAACCCGAGGCUCAACCUCGGGCCUGCAGUGGGUACGGGCAGACUAGAGUGGCGGUAGGGGAGAUUGGAAUUCCUGGUGUAGCGGUGGAAUGCGCAGAUAUCAGGAGGAACACCAAGUGGCGAAGGCAGAUCUCUGGGCCGUAACUGACGCUGAGGAGCGAAAGCAUGGGGAGCGAAACAGG